RNAcentral lists this ribosomal RNA (426 nucleotides) under uncultured Actinomycetes bacterium. RNAcentral describes it as "bacterial SSU rRNA". It matches the Rfam family "Bacterial small subunit ribosomal RNA", at positions 233 to 671 of the family's 1533-position model. The record is from RNAcentral. Lineage: Bacteria; Bacillati; Actinomycetota; Actinomycetes.
GCGGCCUAUCAGCUUGUUGGUGAGGUAAUGGCUCACCAAGGCGACGACGGGUAGCCGGCCUGAGAGGGCGACCGGCCACACUGGGACUGAGACACGGCCCAGACUCCUACGGGAGGCAGCAGUGGGGAAUAUUGGGCAAUGGAGGGAACUCUGACCCAGCGACGCCGCGUGCGGGAUGAAGGCCUUCGGGUUGUAAACCGCUUUCAGCAAGGAAGAAGCGAAAGUGACGGUACUUGCAGAAGAAGCACCGGCUAACUAUGUGCCAGCAGCCGCGGUAAUACAUAGGGUGCAAGCGUUGUCCGGAAUUAUUGGGCGUAAGGAGCUCGUAGGUGGUUCGUCACGUCGGAUGUGAAAAUCUGGGGCUUAACCCCAGACCUGCAUUCGAUACGGGCGAGCUAGAGUGUGGUAGGGGAGACUGGAAUUCCU